RNAcentral lists this small nuclear RNA (107 nucleotides) under Vicugna pacos (alpaca). Lineage: Eukaryota; Metazoa; Chordata; Mammalia; Artiodactyla; Camelidae. The record is from RNAcentral.
GUGCUCACUUCAGCAGCACAUAUACUAAAAUUGGAAUGAUUCAGAGAAGAUUAGCAUGGCCUCUGUGCAAGGAUGACAUGCAAAUUUGGGAAACAUUCCAUAUUUUU